GCAACGCCGCGUGAGGGAUGACGGCCUUCGGGUUGUAAACCUCUUUCAGCAGGGACGAAGCGAGAGUGACGGUACCUGCAGAAGAAGGACCGGCCAACUACGUGCCAGCAGCCGCGGUAAUACGUAGGGUCCGAGCGUUGUCCGGAAUUAUUGGGCGUAAAGGGCUCGUAGGCGGUUUGUCGCGUCGGGAGUGAAAACUCAGGGCUCAACCCUGAGCGUGCUUCCGAUACGGGCAGACUAGAGGUAUGCAGGGGAGAACGGAAUUCCUGGUGUAGCGGUGGAAUGCGCAGAUAUCAGGAGGAACACCGGUGGCGAAGGCGGUUCUCUGGGCAUUACCUGACGCUGAGGAGCGAAAGCAUGGGGAGCGAACAGGAUUAGAUACCCUGGUAGUCCAUGCCGUAAACGUUGGGCGCUAGGUGUGGGGACCUUCCACGGUUUCCGUGCCGCAGCUAACGCAUUAAGCGCCCCGCCUGGGGAGUACGGCCGCAAGGCUAAAACUCAAAGGAAUUGACGGGGGCCCGCACAAGCGGCGGAGCAUGCUGAUUAAUUCGAUGCAACGCGAAGAACCUUACCUGGGUUUGACAUAUGCCGGAAAGCUGCAGAGAUGUGGCCUCCUUUUGGC
This 622-nucleotide ribosomal RNA is filed under the name Aeromicrobium sp. Ri2Pt_4200. Its description in RNAcentral is "bacterial SSU rRNA". It matches the Rfam family "Bacterial small subunit ribosomal RNA", at positions 391 to 1027 of the family's 1533-position model. Lineage: Bacteria; Bacillati; Actinomycetota; Actinomycetes; Propionibacteriales; Nocardioidaceae. The record is from RNAcentral.